Molecule: ribosomal RNA, 253 nt
Filed under: uncultured bacterium
Lineage: Bacteria
Description: partial 16S ribosomal RNA
Rfam family: Bacterial small subunit ribosomal RNA
Source: RNAcentral
UACAGAGGUCUCAAGCGUUGUUCGGAUUCAUUGGGCGUAAAGGGCGCGUAGGCGGCGGGGUAAGUCUGGUGUGAAAUCUAGGAGCUCAACUCCUAAACUGCACUGGAUACUGCUCUGCUAGAGGACUGGAGAGGAGACUGGAAUUCACGGUGUAGCGGUGAAAUGCGUAGAUAUCGUAAGGAAGACCAGUGGCGAAGGCGGGUCUCUGGACAGUUCCUGACGCUGAGGCACGAAGGCCAGGGGAGCAAACGGG